GCCCACCUCCUCUCCCGUGGGUGGCGUCCUCGCGCGCCCAUGGCGAUCUCGCGCAUCCACCCCCUCUUCCUCCUGCUCCUGCUCCGCGCCUUCGCGUUGCUUCCCACGCAGGCUGCAGCUAGAGGCGGCCACGAUCUGCCAGAUGAUGGAGAUCAUGGGUCAAUUUCACGUAACCUGCUCCAAGAUAAGCCUCAUAUCACGGAAGAAAUGGCUCGUGGAUAUAUGAGCAAUGCUGAGCUUGAGAUUGCUGUACAUGCCUUUGGAAGUCGUUGCUCUAAUAUCUCCAGAAUAUACAGGGAUAACACAAACAUUUUAUCAGCAUUGGAAAGAGUGUGAACGACUUUCCAUUGUGGGUGAUCGAAAUAUCAGACAAACCCAGGCAAAGAGAAGCUGAACCAGCAUUCAAGUUCAUUGGAAAUGUUCAUGGUGAUGAGCCUGUUGGAAGAGAGGUUCUUAUGCAUCUUGCGAAUUGGCUGUGUGAUAACUAUCGAAAGGAUCCAUUGGCAACUCUCAUUGUGGAGAAUAUGCACCUUCAUAUACUUCCGACAAUGAACCCAGAUGGAUUCACUCUUAAAUGGCGUGGUAAUGCAAACAAUAUUGAUCUCAACCGAGAUUUUCCUGACCAAUUCUUCUCCGUUAACAACGAUAUUAACUACAGACAACCUGAAACUAGAGCCAUUAUGAACUGGAUAAAGCAAGAACAUUUCACGGCUUCUGCUAGUUUGCAUGGGGGUGCUCUCGUUGCCAAUUAUCCAUGGGAUGGAACUAAAGAUACAGGAAAACGUUACUAUGGAUGUCCUGAUGAUAAGACAUUCCAGCACAUGGCAUCAGUGUAUAGUCAGUCCCACUACAACAUGUCCUUGAGCAAAGAAUUUGAAGGGGGGAUAACAAAUGGAGCCUUCUGGUAUCCAAUAUAUGGUGGCAUGCAAGACUGGAAUUAUAUACAUGGAGGCUGCUUUGAGUUAACUCUGGAGAUUAGUGACACAAAGUGGCCAAAAGCAGCUGAGGUAUCUUUGCAUCCAGUUAUAUAUGGUUCUGCUUGUGUUGUUGCGGACUUUUUUUUUCUUUUUCAAUUGUGUAUUCUAACAUUUUGCUACAGCUUCCUGUUAUCUGGGAACACAAUAGAAUGAGUAUGCUUAAUCUUCUUGCAAGCCUAAUAAAGUCAGGGGUUCAUGGAAGGAUAUUUGCAGCAGAUACUGGUAGACCUAUACCUGGCUCAGUGACGAUAAAGGGUAUUGAUUCCAAGGUAAGAGCAAGCAGGACUUUUGGAGAUUACCAUCGAAUUAUUGUGCCUGGUGAGAAAUAUGAUGUUAUGGCAUCAAUGGAAGGCUUCCGACCAAAAUCCACACGCAUUGUGCUGGAGCAGGGAGCUGUCAACCUUGAUUUCAUCCUGGACCCGGACGGAGCUGAUGUGCUCGGUAAUGACUACGGUUGCCGCUGCGGCAAUGACAUGAUGUUCCAUGUUCAAGAAGCUCACAUCUGGCUGUAUCUUCUUAUACUGUGUGUUCUCCUGACCCUCUAUUUGGUCUUCAAGAGGAAAACCGCAUCAAGGCUGCUGGCAUACAGAUACUCACCCAGACGGCCUGUUGCUGUGUAAUAUGAAUUUACACCCUAGGACAGUUUUGUAACCUAUAGGUUCGCACCCAAAUGCUCUGUUGUAUAAGCUGAAGGAUAUGUAAGUUUUGCAUCGAUGGAAAGUUUUGCUUCAUGGAAGAAUAUCACAAAUUGCAAGGCAUAUUAUGUUUCA
This is an RNA transcript of Panicum virgatum (switchgrass), 1747 nucleotides long. It is a transcript of the gene named carboxypeptidase SOL1, with no coding region annotated. The transcript is spliced from 14 exons. The record is from RefSeq and is a predicted model, not a curated record. NCBI's taxonomy places the organism in Eukaryota, Viridiplantae, Streptophyta, Magnoliopsida, Poales, Poaceae.